RNAcentral lists this ribosomal RNA (253 nucleotides) under uncultured bacterium. RNAcentral's name for it is "partial 16S ribosomal RNA". It matches the Rfam family "Bacterial small subunit ribosomal RNA", at positions 524 to 776 of the family's 1533-position model. The record is from RNAcentral.
UACGUAGGGUGCAAGCGUUGUCCGGAAUUAUUGGGCGUAAAGAGCCCGUAGGCGGUCUGUCGCGUCGGCUGUGAAAACCCGAGGCUCAACCUCGGGCCUGCAGUCGAUACGGGCAAACUAGAGUACUGCAGGGGAGACUGGAAUUCCUGGUGUAGCGGUGAAAUGCGCAGAUAUCAGGAGGAACACCGGUGGCGAAGGCGGGUCUCUGGGCAGUAACUGACGCUGAGGAGCGAAAGCGUGGGGAGCGAACAGG